CGAGGGUGCAAGCGUUAAUCGAAAUUACUGGGCGUAAAGCGUACGUAGGCGGAAAUUCAAGUCGGGUGUGAAAGCCCCGGGCUCAACCUGGGAACUGCAUUCGAUACUGUGUUUCUAGAGUAUGGUAGAGGAAAGUGGAAUUUCCGGUGUAGCGGUGAAAUGCGUAGAUAUCGGAAAGAACACCAGUGGCGAAGGCGACUUUCUGGACCAAUACUGACGCUAAGGUACGAAAGCGUGGGGAGCAAACAGGAUUAGAGACCCGAGUAGUCC
Molecule: ribosomal RNA, 270 nt
Filed under: uncultured archaeon
Lineage: Archaea
Description: partial 16S ribosomal RNA
Rfam family: Bacterial small subunit ribosomal RNA
Source: RNAcentral